CCUACGGGGGGCAGCAGUGGGGAAUAUUGCACAAUGGGGGAAACCAUGAUGCAGCGACGCCGCGUGAGUGAAGAAGUAAUUCGUUACGUAAAGCUCUAUCAGCAGGGAAGAAACUUCCUUUCCCUGCGUCCGCCGCCCCGGCUCCCUCCGUGCCCGCCGCCGCGGUCCUCCGUCGGGGGCCAGCGUUCUCCUGAUUUCCUGGUGGUAAAGGGAGCGUCUACUGUUCGCCAAGUCUGGCGUGAAAUGCCGCCGCUUAACUUCGGAACUGCUUUGGAAACUGGCGCACUAGAGUGCGGGCGGGGUAAGCGGAAUUCCUAGUGUAGCGGUGAAAUGCGUAGAUAUUAGGAGGAACACCGGGGGCGAAGGCGGCUUACUGGACCGUAACUGACGUGGAGGCGCGAAAGCGUGGGGAGCAAACAGGAUGAGAUACCCCUGUAGUC
Molecule: ribosomal RNA, 440 nt
Filed under: uncultured bacterium
Lineage: Bacteria
Description: partial 16S ribosomal RNA
Rfam family: Bacterial small subunit ribosomal RNA
Source: RNAcentral